Molecule: long non-coding RNA, 208 nt
Filed under: Gossypium raimondii (Peruvian cotton)
Lineage: Eukaryota; Viridiplantae; Streptophyta; Magnoliopsida; Malvales; Malvaceae
Description: long non-coding RNA (GRAI_LNC005345)
Source: RNAcentral
UGGUUGUUCCGGUUGAAACCCAAAAACAUGCCCAGAAUAGCCACUUCAACCCUAAACAAGAACCUUUUUGUAUUCUCCAAAAGAAAAAAAAAAAAAACAACUCGAUUUCAAUAGGUCCAUUAGCGUUUAUCUUUUGUUCUUAAAACCAGACACAGAUACGACAUAUGAUCGAACUCUUUCUUGAUAAUAAUAAUAAUUAAUAAUGUUG